UCAUCAGGUAUUUUGUCCCUGGCGAGGUC
This 29-nucleotide small RNA is filed under the name Bombyx mori (domestic silkworm). RNAcentral describes it as "ovarian small RNA-3263". Lineage: Eukaryota; Metazoa; Arthropoda; Insecta; Lepidoptera; Bombycidae. The record is from RNAcentral.